Molecule: ribosomal RNA, 367 nt
Filed under: uncultured soil bacterium
Lineage: Bacteria
Description: bacterial SSU rRNA
Rfam family: Bacterial small subunit ribosomal RNA
Source: RNAcentral
AGAUUGAACGCUGGCGGCAUGCUUUACACAUGCAAGUCGAACGGUAACAGGCCGCAAGGUGCUGACGAGUGGCGAACGGGUGAGUAAUGCAUCGGAACGUGCCCAGUCGUGGGGGAUAACGCAGCGAAAGCUGUGCUAAUACCGCAUACGAUCUAUGGAUGAAAGCGGGGGACCGAAAGGCCUCGCGCGAUUGGAGCGGCCGAUGUCAGAUUAGCUAGUUGGUAGGGUAAAGGCCCACAAGGCGACGAUCUGUAGCUGGUCUGGAGACGGGCGACCGAGACCGACACGUGGAACUAGAGACACGGUCCAGACUCCGACGGGAGCAGCAGGUAGGGUAAUUUUGGAACUAAGUGGGACGCAAGCCUGA